AGAGUUUGAUCCUGGCUCAGAACGAACGCUGGCGGCGUGUCUUAAGCAUGCAAGUCGAACGAGAACCAUGGUGCUUCAGCUUGCUGAAGCCCGGGGGACAGUGGCGAACGGGUGAGUAACACGUAGGUGAUCUGCCCCGAAGUGUGGGAUAGCCUAUGGAAACAUAGGGUAAUACCUCAUGUGAUCCGAGGUUUGGAUGCCUCGGAUGAAAGGCGCAAUCGUGUCGCUUUGGGAUGAGCCUGCGGUCCAUUAGUUAGUUGGUGAGGUAAUAGCUCACCAAGGCGAUGAUGGAUAGCCGGCCUGAGAGGGUGAACGGUCACACUGGGACUGAGACACGGCCCAGACUCCUACGGGAGGCAGCAGCUAAGAAUAGUCCGCAAUGGGGGAAACCCUGACGGUGCGACGCCGCGUGGGUGAUGAAGGCCUGACGGUUGUAAAACCCUUUUCUCAGCGAAGAAUAAGGUGAGGAGUGGAACGCCUCAUCGAUGACGUUAGUUGAGGAAGAAGCCCCGGCCAAUUACGUGCCAGCAGCCGCGGUAACACGUAAGGGGCGAGCGUUGUUCGGAAUUAUUGGGCGUAAAGGGCGCGUAGGCGGUGCAGCAAGCUUGGUGUAAAAGGCUCGGGCUCAACCCGGGGAAUGCGCUGGGAACUGCUGCGCUAGAGUUUUGGAGGGGAAGCUGGAACUCCUGGUGGAGGGGUGAAAUCUGUAGAUAUCAGGAAGAACACCGGUAGCGAAGGCGAGCUUCUGGCCAAAGACUGACGCUGAGGCGCGAAAGCGUGGGGAGCGAACAGGAUUAGAUACCCUGGUAGUCCACGCCCUAAACGAUGUCAACUAGCCGUUGGGUCCUUAAGGACUUAGUGGCGCAGCUAACGCGAUAAGUUGACCGCCUGGGGAGUACGGCCGCAAGGUUAAAACUCAAAGGAAUUGACGGGGGCCCGCACAAGCGGUGGAGCAUGUGGUUUAAUUCGAUGCAACGCGAAGAACCUUACCAGGCCUUGACAUCCUGCGAACUUUCCAGAGAUGGAUCGGUGCCUUCGGGAGCGCAGAGACAGGUGCUGCAUGGCUGUCGUCAGCUCGUG
This 1080-nucleotide ribosomal RNA is filed under the name uncultured bacterium. RNAcentral describes it as "bacterial SSU rRNA". It matches the Rfam family "Bacterial small subunit ribosomal RNA", at positions 8 to 1064 of the family's 1533-position model. The record is from RNAcentral.